RNAcentral lists this unclassified non-coding RNA (254 nucleotides) under Hevea brasiliensis (rubber tree). The record is from RNAcentral. Lineage: Eukaryota; Viridiplantae; Streptophyta; Magnoliopsida; Malpighiales; Euphorbiaceae.
GGGAAAGCCAGAUGAAGCAAUGCAAAUUCUUUAUGAGAUGGCAAAUAAGGGUUGCAAACCCAAUGCUUUCACUUAUAGCUCCUUGAUGAAGGGAUUCUUUGAGACAGGUAAUAGCCAUAAAGCCAUUGAAGUGUGGAGAGACAUGGAAAAGAAUAAUUGUAUUCAGAAUGAGGUUUGUUAUAGUGUACUAAUUCAUGGGCUAUGCAAGAAUGGGAAUGUCAAGGAGGCAAUGAUGGUGUGGGAACAAAUGUUGG